Solanum verrucosum is the source of this 188-nucleotide long non-coding RNA. RefSeq lists it as uncharacterized. The record is from RefSeq and is a predicted model, not a curated record. Lineage: Eukaryota; Viridiplantae; Streptophyta; Magnoliopsida; Solanales; Solanaceae. The transcript is spliced from 3 exons.
GUAAAUUUAGGGUUUUCACUAUUAAUUCACAAAUUCAUCAUGGUUUCAAGGUUUUGAUCCAUACCAUCUGAAAAGAGUUGAAAGGAGAAGAAAUUGACUACAUAAGGUAAUGGACACUAAGUACGUAAAUUUGAGGUUUCACAUCGGUGGUAUACUUGUGAGUGAGGUAGGACCUGUUUAUAUUGGGG